Molecule: long non-coding RNA, 1121 nt
Filed under: Brassica rapa (field mustard)
Lineage: Eukaryota; Viridiplantae; Streptophyta; Magnoliopsida; Brassicales; Brassicaceae
Description: long non-coding RNA (BRAP_LNC003097)
Source: RNAcentral
AUCCGUCCUACUGGACAAUUCCACAUCGUUCAGGUCCGAGAAAGAUGCUGCUCCAAACGCAAAUUCGGCUAGAGGGUUUGAUGUUGUAGAUAGAAUGAAAGCAGAGAUUGAGGAAGUUUGUCCAGGAACAGUGUCUUGUGCGGAUGUUCUCGCCAUCGCCGCUCAAAUAUCAGUGCUUUUGGUAUGUACAUAUCUACAUGAUCAUGACCUAUAUGGAUGAAUUAAUCAAAAUGUUAUAAACUUUGACGUUUGUGUUUUAUGGUAUAUAGUCGGGAGGUCCAUGGUGGCCGGUAUCAUUGGGGAGAAGAGACGGCUCACAAGCUUUCUUCGAUCUAUCUAAUACAGCUCUUCCUUCUCCAUUUGCCACCCUUGCUGAACUUAAAACAGUUUUUAGAGACGCUGGUCUAAACCGCACCUCAGAUCUAGUUGCUCUUUCUGGUAAAUUUGUACUUUUGUGAUGAAAAGUCUUUUGGUUUAUACGAUUAAUUUAAUAAUGACAACUCGUAUAUUAAGUUGUGAUGACUUUCUUAUACAAGGUUUUCAAGUUUGAAUCAUAACAAUAUAUUAAAAAAAUAUUAAAUGUGUUUUUAAGUCAUAGGAAUUGGUCAAUACGCUCAAUACUAUACUUUAAAUAGAAAACCCAUUUGCUUGAAAUACAUGAUACCCCAACCAAAUUAGUAUAUAUAUAUAUAUAUAUAUAUAUAUAUAUAUAUAUAUCCGUUAGCAUAUAUGGUAAAAGACAAAACGUGACUCAUCUUUGAUUAACACAUAAAAAAUCUAUCUAACCAUAUUUUUGUCAUAUUUGUACAGGUGCUCACACAUUUGGAAGAGCACAAUGUAUAGUUAUCACACCUCGUCUCUACAACUUCAACGGUACCAAUAAACCAGACCCGAGUAUAAACCCAACUUUCCUCACCCAACUCCGUAAACUGUGCCCUGAAAACGGGAACCCGACCGUUCUGGCCAACUUUGACCUCGCGACUCCAAAUCGUUUCGAUAGUCAUUACUACACCAAUCUUCGUCAAGGGAAAGGUGUAAUCCAGAGCGAUCAAGAACUCUUCUCGACUCCAGGAGCCGACACAAUUCCACUGGUGGAACUAUACAGCAAAAACACGUUCGAG